This 253-nucleotide ribosomal RNA is filed under the name uncultured bacterium. Its description in RNAcentral is "partial 16S ribosomal RNA". It matches the Rfam family "Bacterial small subunit ribosomal RNA", at positions 524 to 776 of the family's 1533-position model. The record is from RNAcentral.
UACGUAGGGGGCGAGCGUUGUCCGGAUUCAUUGGGCGUAAAGCGCGCGUAGGCGGCCCCGCAAGUCGGCCGUGAAAUCUCCGGGCUCAACUCGGAGGGGUCGGGCGAGACUGCGAGGCUCGAGGUGGGCAGAGGGCAGUGGAAUUCCCGGUGUAGCGGUGAAAUGCGCAGAUAUCAGGAGGAACACCGGUGGCGAAGGCGGGUCUCUGGGCCGAUACUGACGCUGAGGAGCGAAAGCGUGGGGAGCGAACAGG